GCUGAACGGUGACGUCCAGGGCUAGGUAAACCCCAUCCGGAGCAAGACCAAAUAGGGGAGUCAUGAGGAUGGCCCGUCUGGUACUCCCGGGUAGGUUGCUUGAGGUGCCGGGCAACCGGCAUCCCAGAUGAAUGAUCACCACCUGGCGGCCGCCAGGUACAGAACCCGGCUUACAGGGUGUCUCCAGCC
RNAcentral lists this RNase P RNA (189 nucleotides) under Thermodesulfobacteriaceae bacterium. RNAcentral's name for it is "partial RNase P RNA component class A". It matches the Rfam family "Bacterial RNase P class A", at positions 181 to 367 of the family's 367-position model. From Rfam's summary of the family: Ribonuclease P (RNase P) is a ubiquitous endoribonuclease, found in archaea, bacteria and eukarya as well as chloroplasts and mitochondria. Its best characterised activity is the generation of mature 5'-ends of tRNAs by cleaving the 5'-leader elements of precursor-tRNAs. Lineage: Bacteria; Pseudomonadati; Thermodesulfobacteriota; Thermodesulfobacteria; Thermodesulfobacteriales; Thermodesulfobacteriaceae. The record is from RNAcentral.